CGAGGNNNNNNNNNNNNNNNNNNNNNNNNNNNNNNNNNNNNNNNNNNNNNNNNNNCCUGAGCUCUCCGACAUGAGCUUCCAGGCAGUGCGCUCAUGCCAAGGCCCUCCGACCCCUGCCCAACAGCAAAGCAAGGGGCAGGGCCUUGGAGGGAGUGGGGCUCGUUCCCUCAGGGUCCUCAGCCCCCUGCUGUUCCCGAGGGCAGCCUCCCUCCCCUGGGCUCAGCCCCACCUGGGCUUCGAGCUCCUGUUUCCUCGCCGACUUCAGUUCUUCACUCUCUUCUUUCUCACGACGAGCUGACUCUCUCGCAUCCUCGAGAUUUUGAAUGAGCUGCUCCCUGUGUUUCAGGGAUUCCUCUUGUGCACGGCGGUUCUGUUCAAUCUUCUCCCGUAUCUGCUCUUGUCUCCCUGUCAGAACCUAUGCUUAGCAAAAGAGGAAAAGGAGGAUUUUGGUUUGAUUCUAAAAGAUGCCCACUCUGCCAGCCUCCAGAGGGUGCAGUGACCCUGAGACCUAAUCCUCGGCUUCAGAUGACGGUACUGGGUCCAGUCAGCACUGGCAGCGUGCGCCCCUGCUCAGGAGGCGUUCCCACGGCCCAGCACACACACACAUCCCGCCUGCGGACACAGACGAGCCCCAGGUGGUUGAAGGAGGCACAGAGGACAGCCGCCUCCCGGGGGCACAGAACCUUCUCACCCACAAGAUUUUUUCCUAAAAGAACAAAUACUGCUUUUACAAGGAUUUUAAAAUAACCAAGAAGACUGAUCCCAGAACAUGCGGCAGGGUCAGCCUGGGAUGGGAACACCCAGACCUCUGCCCGGGGAGCCCAAGGACCCCCCGCGUGCACCGCAGCUGAAGUCACCUCGUUCAUCAGUCUGUCCCGCGCGCUCCUCUCUCGGGCCCACUCGGCCUCUCUCUUUUCCCACAUUUCCUUGGCUUCUUCCCUGGGCAAACAGAAAACGGAUGAGAGCGGGCUCCUAACCCCACCAAGGGCAGCAAGUUAACCACAGAACAGACAGGGCUCCAGAUGGAGCAUUAGUCACCACAGCCCCGGGCUUCCUGCGGGGUCGGCCUUCAGACCGUCCCACGCACACUUGUUAAAGAGGAGUCUUACAAUGGUGGACGAUGGGUAUGGGGAAAGGCAGGAAGAGAUGAGAGGUGGAGGCGUCUUUGGGACAUGGAGCUGCCCUGGAUGGUGCUUCAGAGGUAAUCACCGGACAUUGUAAAUCCUCACAGGGCCCACUGGAUGGAAUGGAGGAGAGUAUGGGCCAUGAUGUGAACCAUUGUCUAUGAGGUGCAGAGGUGCCCAAAGAUGUACUUACCAAAUCCAAUGGAUGUGUCAUGAUGAUGGGAACG
Molecule: long non-coding RNA, 1351 nt
Filed under: Dasypus novemcinctus (nine-banded armadillo)
Lineage: Eukaryota; Metazoa; Chordata; Mammalia; Cingulata; Dasypodidae
Description: lncRNA (ENSDNOG00000050182.1)
Source: RNAcentral